Molecule: ribosomal RNA, 319 nt
Filed under: uncultured eukaryote
Lineage: Eukaryota
Description: partial 18S ribosomal RNA
Rfam family: Eukaryotic small subunit ribosomal RNA
Source: RNAcentral
CCCAUAGAUGUUCUGGGCAGCACGCGCGCUACAAUGGUCUUCGCAAACGGAUGCAUUCUCGAAGGAGAAUGCCAAUCUUGGAAUCUAUGCCUUGGUCGGGACAGUUGCUUGCAAUUUUUCGACUCGAACCAGGAAUUCCUUGUAAUCGUGAUUCAUCACAUCACGAUGAAUACGUCCCUGCCCUUUGUACACACCGCCCGUCGCUCCUACCGAUCGAAGAGUUAGGUGAAUUGUUUUGAUCGAUAAGAUUUGACUAUGGUCAACUCUCGUUGUGAAAUUCUGUGAAUCUGACUGUUUAGAGGAAGGAAAAGUCGUAACA